RNAcentral lists this ribosomal RNA (433 nucleotides) under uncultured bacterium. RNAcentral's name for it is "partial 16S ribosomal RNA". It matches the Rfam family "Bacterial small subunit ribosomal RNA", at positions 29 to 507 of the family's 1533-position model. The record is from RNAcentral.
AACGAACGCUGGCGGCAUGCCUAACACAUGCAAGUCGAACGAGACCUUCGGGUCUAGUGGCGCACGGGUGCGUAACGCGUGGGAACCUGCCCUUAGGUUCGGAAUAACUCCCCGAAAGGGGUGCUAAUCCCGGAUAAUGUCUUCGGACCAAAGAUUUAUCGCCUUUGGAUGGGCCCGCGUUGGAUUAGCUAGUUGGUAGGGUAAAAGCCUACCAAGGCGACGAUCCAUAGCUGGUCUGAGAGGAUGAUCAGCCACACUGGGACUGAGACACGGCCCAGACUCCUACGGGAGGCAGCAGUGGGGAAUAUUGGACAAUGGGCGAAAGCCUGAUCCAGCAAUGCCGCGUGAGUGAUGAAGGCCUUAGGGUUGUAAAGCUCUUUUACCCGGGAUGAUAAUGACAGUACCGGGAGAAUAAGCUCCGGCUAACUCCGUG